GGGGUUGUGGCUCAGUGGUAGAACACUCACCUAGCAUGAGUUAGGUGCUGAGUUCGAUCCUCAGCACCACA
Molecule: transfer RNA, 71 nt
Filed under: Marmota monax (woodchuck)
Lineage: Eukaryota; Metazoa; Chordata; Mammalia; Rodentia; Sciuridae
Description: tRNA.Ala
Source: RNAcentral